This is an RNA transcript of Hippocampus comes (tiger tail seahorse), 825 nucleotides long. It is a transcript of the gene named melanoregulin-like, with no coding region annotated. NCBI's taxonomy places the organism in Eukaryota, Metazoa, Chordata, Actinopteri, Syngnathiformes, Syngnathidae. The transcript has 5 exons. The record is from RefSeq and is a predicted model, not a curated record.
AGGUGGGGAAAGAUGCCUUCUCCGUCUUUUAACCUCGAUGCUCAGAGCCCAUUUCAUGACAAAUGGCUCAAGAUAGACUUACAGCAUGCACACGGCCAAAGCUUCCAAGACAACGGAGCAGCUGUCCGACGAAAGCAGCCAUGACGACACAGAGGAGGAGAUUCCGUUCGGCCGGCAGCUCGAAACCGGGCCUCCGUGGGUCGCGCAGCAAAACCUGAGGAGAAAUAAAGGCGCCGCCUCAUCCGCGAGAAGGGAAUCGGACCGAGAGCUGCAGGCUUUCAUCAGCAUGAGGAAUCAGGUUGACAAGGCCACAGAGGAAUGGGAACAGCUGAAUUAUGACAUCCAUACGUUACGCUACACCAGACGAGAAGUGAGAGCACGAUGGAAGAAAAUCCUGCUGCAAAUGGGGGGUCUCUUCCUGCAGGUUAUCAGUCUGAGGCGGAUGCCUUGUUGGACGUCAACAAGCAAAGUUACUUCAAUCGAGAGCAGGAGGGUCUCGCCCGAGCUACUGAACUCUUGACCCAGUUGUUGGAACACACUUCCUUGUUUCCUGUUGGAACAGGACAUCGAACCUGAUAUCUCUGUGUCAUGGAUCGCCUGGUGUCCCUGGACAGCGCUGAAGACUUUGUCAGACUGGCUGUGGAAAAAUAUCCCAAGAGACAAGAUGGCUGAAACACAGCACAUGAUUUGUGUUAAUGGAUGCAUUGAUCGACUGUUUUGUACUGUGAUGUAUAUUGUGUAAUUUUGUUAUUUUUGUUUUUCAAGUGUGUUUUCUAUUGGACUUGGUAAUUUAAUUGGUAAUAUUGGUAAAUAUAUUGAAUCCAG